Molecule: ribosomal RNA, 459 nt
Filed under: uncultured bacterium
Lineage: Bacteria
Description: partial 16S ribosomal RNA
Rfam family: Bacterial small subunit ribosomal RNA
Source: RNAcentral
CCUACGGGAGGCUGCAGUGAGGAAUAUUGGUCAAUGGGCGGGCGCCUGAACCAGCCAAGCCGCGUGAGGGAAGAAGGUACAGCGUAUCGUAAACCUCUUUUGUCAGGGAACAAAGGCGGGGACUAGUCCCCGGAUGAGGGUACCUGAAGAAAAAGCAUCGGCUAACUCCGUGCCAGCAGCCGCGGUAAUACGGAGGAUGCGAGCGUUCUCCGGAUUGAUUGGGUUUAAAGGGUGCGCAGGCGGCCUGUUAAGUCAGCGGUAAAAGCCCGGGGCUCAACCCCGGCGAGCCGUUGAAACUGGCGGGCUGGAGUUGGAGAGAAGUACGCGGAAUGCGCGGUGUAGCGGUGAAAUGCUUAGAUAUCGCGCAGAACCCCGAUUGCGAAGGCAGCGUACCGGCUCCACACUGACGCUGAGGCACGAAAGCGUGGGUAUCGAACAGGAUUAGAUACCCCAGUAGUC